GCCGUCUCGAUUUGACACCCCAGACUUUCAGAACCCAGUCACCCCAACACCCAUCUUCUCGAUUUGUCACCUUUCUAUCGCCGUCUCGAGUGCGUCGUCCCCUCCUCUCCACCAUCCCGACAUCACGACGGCCCAGCAACUUCGACGACAUCCCAGACUUACAGAACCCAGUCACCCCACCACCCAUUUUCUCAAUUUGUCACCUCUCUCUCAAUCUUACAGGUGUUAAAUUCCCAAAUAUUAUGUGGGCCACCAACAGCACGCCACUGUCCGACAAGGCCACCGCCACGCCACCACAGCACGCCCCUGUUGUUCUCCUUCUCCAUCAUCAGAAUUAGAAGCUGAAGCUCCGGCAAUGAAGAGUAAAAAGGGAAGCAAGGCCCAUGCAAAAGACAUGGUUAAA
RNAcentral lists this small RNA (403 nucleotides) under Malus domestica (apple). RNAcentral describes it as "sRNA MD15G0331700". Lineage: Eukaryota; Viridiplantae; Streptophyta; Magnoliopsida; Rosales; Rosaceae. The record is from RNAcentral.